This 497-nucleotide ribosomal RNA is filed under the name uncultured bacterium. Its description in RNAcentral is "partial 16S ribosomal RNA". It matches the Rfam family "Bacterial small subunit ribosomal RNA", at positions 28 to 507 of the family's 1533-position model. The record is from RNAcentral.
GAUGAACGCUGGCGGCGUGCCUAAUACAUGCAAGUCGAGCGAACGGACGAGAAGCUUGCUUCUCUGAUGUUAGCGGCGGACGGGUGAGUAACACGUGGAUAACCUACCUAUAAGACUGGGAUAACUUCGGGAAACCGUAGCUAAUACCGGAUAAUAUUUUGAACCGCAUGGUUCAAAAGUGAAAGACGGUCUUGCUGUCACUUAUAGAUGGAUCCGCGCUGCAUUAGCUAGUUGGUAAGGUAACGGCUUACCAAGGCAACGAUGCAUAGCCGACCUGAGAGGGUGGUCGGCCACACUGGAACUGAGACACGGUCAAGACUCCUACGGGAGGCAGCAGUAGGGAAUCUUCCGCAAUGGGCGAAAGCCUGACGGAGCAACGCCGCGUGAGUGAUGAAGGUCUUCGGAUCGUAAAACUCUGUUAUUAGUGAAGAACAUAUGUGUAAGUAACUGUGCACAUCUUGACGGUACCUAAUCAGAAAGCCACGGCUAACUACGUG